This 570-nucleotide long non-coding RNA is filed under the name Phaseolus vulgaris (common bean). RNAcentral describes it as "long non-coding RNA (PVUL_LNC004111)". Lineage: Eukaryota; Viridiplantae; Streptophyta; Magnoliopsida; Fabales; Fabaceae. The record is from RNAcentral.
CGAGAAUGCUCGGGCCGCCCAGCGCUCCCAGCUCGCCACCACCAUCGCCGCCUUCGCCAGGAUGACCGUCGAAGAUUCUAGAAAGAUCUUGCCGCCUCAGUUCUACCCUUCCUGGGUCGUUUUCUCUUCCAGCCAGAAGUUGAGCUUUCUUCUCUCAACACGUACUUUCUAUAACUCGUCGUCUCAAAUUCGGUCUUGGACUCACGCUGUUGUGUUAUUGUUUUCAGUUGACUUGGCUUAACUCGCAUCUCACCAAGAUCUGGCCCUUUGUUAAUGAGGUAGCUCGUGGAUCAUGCUUCAGAUGUGGCUUUCGUGGUGGUUGUUCAUUUUUUUUUGUUUUUUUGUUCAUGCGUCGGUUUUGCUAGGCUGCUUCUGAGCUCAUAAAGACGUCGGUGGAACCCAUUCUUGAACAAUAUAGACCCGUGAUUUUGGCUUCUCUCAAGUUUUCCAAGUUUACACUUGGUACUGUGGCGCCACAGUUCACAGGUCCGUUCGAUCCAAUUGCUUUGGAUUUUUGGCAAUCCGCAUUUCCUAUGGUGCAAUUGAUACUGUUGUCAUCUGACUGGUUCC